RNAcentral lists this unclassified non-coding RNA (2792 nucleotides) under Hevea brasiliensis (rubber tree). Lineage: Eukaryota; Viridiplantae; Streptophyta; Magnoliopsida; Malpighiales; Euphorbiaceae. The record is from RNAcentral.
GAAAAGCUAAGAGCAAAAAAGCGGGAUCGUGUGUGAGUGAGGCUUCUUCGAGAGAGAACGCAAUCCCAUAAUCCUUUGGAUUCAGCUUUUAGUUACUCUUUCUUUGGCGGAGUCUCCAAUCCAUUACACUACUAAACAACAAGAGAAAACAGUGGAACACCGACAACAACGACCAAGGAAAAAGCAAUGGCAAAGAGAAGCCAAUCAGCGGAAACGAAGGCAUCCCAUCUUGUCGAUUUUCACUGUUCUUGAUGCUAUAGAAAGAAAACAGAGUGUGAGAAGAGAGAGUUGUGGGAAGGAUAGAAAAUGGGAGUAUUGCAUGAGGAUGCGGUGGUAAUCAGUGAGGCUGAGAAGCCUGGAGAGUCCACUGUGAUCACUGUGAAUUGCCCUGACAAAACUGGGCUUGGCUGUGAUUUGUGCAGGAUUAUCUUGCUCUUUGGGCUAAGUAUUUCUAGAGGAGAUUUGCAAACGGAUGGGAAAUGGUGCUACGUAGUGCUUUGGGUGGUGGGGAAGCCAAACACAAGGUGGAGUUUGUUGAAGAAGAGGCUACUGGAGGUAUGCCCUUCAUAUUUUUCAACAUCUGAAAUCUCCUACUACAGGCCACAGAACCAGGAGCCAAAGCAGCCAGAUGUGUUUCUCUUGAAGUUCUGGUGUUCUUAUGACCGAGAAGGCCUUUUACAUGAUGUAACUGAGGUUCUCUGUGAGUUGGAGCUGAUCAUAAAGAGAGUGAAGGUGUCCACUGCCCCAGACGGGAGAGUGAUGGACCUCUUUUUCAUCACAGAUACUAGGGAACUCCUUCACAUGAAAAAUCGGCAAGAGGAAACAAUUCACUAUUUGAAGGAUGUAUUAGGAGAUGCCUUGAUAAGUUGUGAGAUUGAACCAGCUGGUGCAGAAGUCACUGCAUGUUCCCAAGGUUCAUCUUUUCUUCCUUCUGCAAUCACAGAAGACAUGUUCAGUUUGGAGCUGCCUGAUCAACACCAAAAUGGAUUUCUUAAUUCCAACCCUGUAACAGUUACAGUGGACAACACUCUGAGCCCGUCUCACACACUUGUUCAAAUUUUCUGCAAGGAUUACAAAGGUCUUAUGUAUGAUAUGAUGAGAACCUUGAAGGAUUAUAACAUCCAGGUAACUAAUUUAAGCUCUAAACUAUAUCUUAUCAACAAUACUUGGACUUUGACUUUCUUGCUGGCUGCCAGAAGACUUGAGUUGGGGCAUUGAUGAUGCAGGACCUAUAAUAUCUCUGUAAAAAAAUGGUCCUUUACUACCGAGACUGAUGAGUUUACACCUGAAUUUAUUGUUUAUUUCCUAUAAAUUGAGUGAUACAGUGGGACAUGGUGUACAGCUUGUGCAAAAAGGCUUUGGGCUUGAUUGACGAAUAAAAGUGCCCUAUCCAGUUUCUUGUUCUGAGUAUUUUUCAUUUGUUACUGAUACUUAAAUGUAAAAGUCAUUUUUUUGUCAGAUUUCUUAUGGACGGUUUUUUGCAAGCCCAAAAAGGAACUGUGAAGUGGACUUGUUCAUAAUGCAAGCGGAUGGCAAGAAGAUAAUUGACCCCAAUAAACAAGAUGCAUUAUGCUCUCGUUUGAGAAUGGAGCUUCUGCGCCCCCUUAGAGUUGCCGUUGUUAGCCGGGGUCCUGAUACAGAGCUGCUUGUUGCCAACCCUGUUGAGUUGUCUGGGAGGGGCAGGCCUCUCGUGUUUUAUGAUAUUACCCUGGCUCUCCAAAUUCUAAGCACUGGCAUCUUCUCAGUGGAGAUUGGAAGGCAUAUGAUUCAUGACCGAGAGUGGGAAGUGUAUAGAAUACUACUUGAUGAAGGGGGUGGAGUUACCGUGCCCAGGAACAAGAUUGAAGAGGGUGUAAGAAAAAUACUAAUGGGUUGGGAUUAGACUGGAUACUCACUUCAGUUAGGAGCCUUCACCACCAUUGUACAGCAUAUUUUCUUAGCCUUCUGGAGUCUAUACUACAGCUAGAUGCUAACCACAUACAGAAUGUAAAUCAUGAAUGCCUUAGAAUAGAUUUGGUAAGCUAUUUGAUUUCCUGCCACUGGAAUCGCAUUGCUUUACAAGAUCAGGUUUGGUUCCUGCUAGACCUCCCCUGUUUGAUAGGCCAGGAACAUCGUGAAGGCUGAUGCUCUUUCAGCUUGAGAUCAACCAAUGCAUGAACAAGGGUAUUCUUAUGAUUUCAGUUGCUUGCAUGAUCUUUAUAUCUCCAUGCUGCAGCAACUAAGCACUCACCCUGCAGAAAUGCUCAAUUUGUCAAGUACCAAAUGUCAAACAGAUAAUUUUCCAUGCAUGGAACUCAAAAAGAUUACAAUUUUCCAAUGGUCAAAUACUUCCUCAUAGUGUGAAGGGUGAAGGGUUCAAGUCUUACUACUUUUUUCCAUGGUCUUGAGGAUAUGGAGAGCCCUAGGCCCUAGCUUUAAGAUGGUAUGGCAAUUAGGUAGUUUAUAGCGUGGACGCUCACAAUCAUUAUUUCCAGAAGCAAAUGGGAGAAAUUAUUUCAGGCAGUUGAGCACUUGAGCAAAAUGACAAAAUCUUUAUUUCAAAUCGAUGCAAUUUGAAAUAAUGGUUUUAGAUUUGUUUUUUCCCUAGAAGAAAGGUUAAAUGCGGGGGACUUAUGAUUCAAUUUUUAAUUUUUAUUUCUUCUUUUGCUCAUUAAUUGAAUUAAAGUUGUUAUGAAAGAAGAGGAAGAAGCAUAAUUUGUUGUUUUUUUAUUUUUUGUGGUCAAGAGGUGUAUUACUUAACCAAACUAAUUACUCUCUGGAUCCUGUAAUAGUCUGAAAAUCACGAGAGUCAG